UUUUUCCCAAACUUCCUGUAUUCUCCAGGAUUAAAAAAAAAAAAAAAAACCCUAAAUCUUCUGCCCUAAUAUCACUCUCUCUUUCUUGCGGCCAGUCGAUCGUCACUCUCUCUCUCUCUCGCAACAGCAGCAGCAGCAACAACAACACUAGCGUGGGCUCAUCCAGGUAACCCUCAUCUUGCAAGCGCAGGCCCCCACAAUUUCUCUCUCGCUCUCGCGUUACCCUCACAGAUUGUCUGUAGCAGGAACAACUUCAACUUCUUCACCAGUCCUUCCUCUGGUAUCCAGUGAUGUUUCUCUUCAUCGUGACAAAAGUUUAAUGCCCAAAAACCCAACAGCAUAGAGUGCAUGGAAUUUUCUUGGAACUAUGGAUAACAAAGUAUGUGUGACAUAUUGGCUCAAUGUGCUCCAGAAUCUUGGUGAGACGGGGCUACCUUAUCUGGUAACUCUAAAUCCAUCACAUACCCCAGAACAUACACUACUCAAGUGGUCAACCGGCCAUCCAUUCCCAUCAGUUGCUGCAUUAAAAGCAUCAUUUGAGCUUGAUCACAUUCAAGGGAAAAGAGUAAUAUGGUUCUGCUGAGCAUACCAAGGUGAGUUUCUUUCAUUGUUGCUGGACUGGGAUGAUGUUCACAACAAUGAUUUCUGUUCAUGGCAUGGAGUCUUCUGUGACAAUGUCACCGGAUCUGUUGUUUCUCUGAAUUUGUCAAAUUUGAACUUGGGUAGGGAGAUUUCACCAGCCAUUAGAGACUUGAAGAAUCUACGGUCCAUGUAAGCUUUCUUUGCUAAUCCUGUUGAUUUGGUGUUUUUGCUCAUUGUAACCAGGUUGACAUAAUACUAACUUUAGAUGUUAUAGUUGAAAUAUUUUCAAGGAUUUUCAGGGGAACAAAUUAACUGGUCAAAUUCCUGAUGAGAUAAGCAACUGUGUUUCUCUCACGCUAGUGUUCGUUGUUCGCAUUCUUGAAGCACGUGAUUUACCCAUGAAAUUCUUUGCUUCAGAUUCUGUCAUUAAGAUGCAACCCUUUUGAGUACGUGAUGAUAUCUUCGCAUAUCGAUAUUGGAGUUUACUGUUGAUAUUAAAACAAGAUAUAAUAUAUAUAUUUUUAUUUGUAUUGUCGAUACUUUUGUUUUAUUUUAGAUACAAAAAUUUGAGUUCUUAAAUUAUUAAUAGUUAUUAGUAUUGAUGAAGGAUGUUUUACAUAUUUUUGUAAAGAAUAUUUGUUUGAAAAUUGUUACAGAGUACAUAUAUUAUUAUUUGUAUGAUUUUGUGG
Non-coding RNA from Camellia sinensis, 1271 nucleotides. Lineage: Eukaryota; Viridiplantae; Streptophyta; Magnoliopsida; Ericales; Theaceae. The record is from RefSeq and is a predicted model, not a curated record.